UGGGGAAUUUUGGACAAUGGGGGAAACCCUGAUCCAGCCAUCCCGCGUGUGCGAUGAAGGCCUUCGGGUUGUAAAGCACUUUUGGCAGGAAAGAAACGUCAUGGGUUAAUACCCCGUGAAACUGACGGUACCUGCAGAAUAAGCACCGGCUAACUACGUGCCAGCAGCCGCGGUAAUACGUAGGGUGCAAGCGUUAAUCGGAAUUACUGGGCGUAAAGCGUGCGCAGGCGGUUCGGAAAGAAAGAUGUGAAAUCCCAGAGCUCAACUUUGGAACUGCAUUUUUAACUACCGGGCUAGGGUGUGGCAGAGGGAGGUGGAAUUCCGCGUGUAGCAGUGAAAUGCGUAGAUAUGCGGAGGAACACCGAUGGCGAAGGCAGCCUCCUGGGAUAACACUGACGCUCAUGCACGAAAGCGUGGGGAGCAAACAGG
This 429-nucleotide ribosomal RNA is filed under the name Acidobacteriota bacterium. Its description in RNAcentral is "Acidobacteria bacterium partial 16S ribosomal RNA". It matches the Rfam family "Bacterial small subunit ribosomal RNA", at positions 355 to 776 of the family's 1533-position model. The record is from RNAcentral. Lineage: Bacteria; Pseudomonadati; Acidobacteriota.